CCUACGGGAGGCAGCAGUGGGGAAUAUUGCACAAUGGGCGCAAGCCUGAUGCAGCCAUGCCGCGUGUGUGAAGAAGGCCUUCGGGUUGUAAAGCACUUUCAGCGGGGAGGAAGGCGGUGAGGUUAAUAACCUCAUCGAUUGACGUUACCCGCAGAAGAAGCACCGGCUAACUCCGUGCCAGCAGCCGCGGUAAUACGGAGGGUGCAAGCGUUAUUCGGAAUUACUGGGCGUAAAGCGCACGCAGGCGGUCUGUCAAGUCGGAUGUGAAAUCCCCGGGCUCAACCUGGGAACUGCAUUCGAAACUGGCAGGCUAGAGUCUUGUAGAGGGGGGUAGAAUUCCAGGUGUAGCGGUGAAAUGCGUAGAGAUCUGGAGGAAUACCGGUGGCGAAGGCGGCCCCCUGGACAAAGACUGACGCUCAGGUGCGAAAGCGUGGGGAGCAAACAGGAUUAGAUACCCCUGUAGUC
RNAcentral lists this ribosomal RNA (465 nucleotides) under uncultured Klebsiella sp. Its description in RNAcentral is "bacterial SSU rRNA". It matches the Rfam family "Bacterial small subunit ribosomal RNA", at positions 338 to 795 of the family's 1533-position model. Lineage: Bacteria; Pseudomonadati; Pseudomonadota; Gammaproteobacteria; Enterobacterales; Enterobacteriaceae. The record is from RNAcentral.